AUGGUGAGGAGGUCCAAGGAAUCACUGAAGUUCAUGUAACUUUCUGAUAACUCGGAGAACAGGACAUACAAAGAAGUGAGUGAACAUAGCUGUCCGGUGUGAAGUAAAUGAUAAUGAAAAUAAUAAGAAAGAAAGAUGGGAAGAGGAGAGCAGGGAUAGUAACCCAGGCAACAGUAAUAGCUGACCAAUCAGGCCCCACAAUGGGAACCAAUAUAACCUGGCACAAAUUAUUGUCUAAGUGCCUUUUUGGGGGACCUCUGUACUAUACAAGUCUCCAUAGGUCUGUGGCACGUGUAACUGCUCGGAAACGCAUUCAUCU
This is a long non-coding RNA of Etheostoma spectabile (orangethroat darter), 319 nucleotides long. RefSeq lists it as uncharacterized. The transcript is spliced from 3 exons. The record is from RefSeq and is a predicted model, not a curated record. Lineage: Eukaryota; Metazoa; Chordata; Actinopteri; Perciformes; Percidae.